RNAcentral lists this ribosomal RNA (491 nucleotides) under uncultured bacterium. RNAcentral's name for it is "partial 16S ribosomal RNA". It matches the Rfam family "Bacterial small subunit ribosomal RNA", at positions 29 to 507 of the family's 1533-position model. The record is from RNAcentral.
UUGCACGCUGGCGGCAUGCUUUACACCUGCAAGUCGCACGGUAACAGGCCUUCGGGUGCUGACGAGUGGCGAACGGGUGAGUAAUGCAUCGGAACGUACCCAGAGGUGGGGGAUAACGCAGCGAAAGCUGUGCUAAUACCGCAUGUGAUCUGAGGAUGAAAGCGGGGGACCGAGCAGCAAUGUUUGGCCUCGCGCCUUUGGAGCGGCCGAUGUCGGAUUAGCUAGUUGGUGGGGUAAAGGCCUACCAAGGCGACGAUCCGUAGCUGGUCUGAGAGGACGACCAGCCACACUGGGACUGAGACACGGCCCAGACUCCUACGGGAGGCAGCAGUGGGGAAUUUUGGACAAUAGGCGCAAGCCUGAUCCAGCAAUGCCGCGUGCGGGAAGAAGGCCUUCGGGUUGUAAACCGCUUUUGGCAGGAACGAAACGGUGUCCGCUAAUACCGGGCGCUAAUGACGGUACCUGCAGAAUAAGCACCGGCUAACUACGUG